This is a long non-coding RNA of Octopus sinensis (East Asian common octopus), 748 nucleotides long. RefSeq lists it as uncharacterized. The record is from RefSeq and is a predicted model, not a curated record. The transcript has 3 exons. Lineage: Eukaryota; Metazoa; Mollusca; Cephalopoda; Octopoda; Octopodidae.
CAGAUACGGUGUCGAGUAACGUGUAGAGCCCACGUAAAAAUAAUCUGGAUCGAAGUAGGUGAUACUGGAGGGGCUUAUUCUGGUUCUAAUUAAAGCGAUUCAAACUGUUUGACUGCGUUCAAGAUCCUAACCGCUGUCAUUACGAACAGACACACAUUUACCUAAGAAAACUAUAUAUGUUAUUCAAAACAAGUAUUGUAGGACGUAUGACAUGCCAAGCAUGAAACUAAUAGCCUUAGAGUACCAACAAGAACAACCGUAUUAGAUGCGCAGAGCAUUUUAUUCAUAAUCCAGUUCAAAUCUAUGAUGUCGCUAUCGACAUUGGAAUUGCUUCUGAAUUGGCCGUGAAGAAGAACUGUAAGAUAAUGGACAGCUUCAGAAAUAUUCCGCCACUGCCCUUCUCGUUAAAUCUACUCAAAUUUACAUUUUAUUUGAUCUGGUACUUCAUAGUUUUUAUAGAUAUAUUUUAUUAUUUAAUGUGCGGUUGCCACAAUUGUAGUGAAGUAAUACCGGAAAAUGUUCUGGCUGACGAAAUAUUGACAACAACAUCAAUGUGGGACAAUUUCCUGAUCUUAUCAACGGUAGUUAAGGGAAAUUAUUGCUGUGAGCACUGCCACUCUCUCUACAGAGUCCGAAUCUGGAGGAAUUUACCCGUUAUUGGAAACUGGAUUUGUGACAUUACUUUAGCUUUCCAUUUACUAUAAACUGUACGAUAAUAAACAGGAUUAUUUCAUCAUUGCUAAAGGUC